RNAcentral lists this ribosomal RNA (549 nucleotides) under uncultured fungus. RNAcentral describes it as "eukaryotic LSU rRNA". The stretch from base 186 to 339 matches the Rfam family "5.8S ribosomal RNA". The record is from RNAcentral. Lineage: Eukaryota; Fungi.
AAGUCGUAACAAGGUCUCCGUUGGUGAACCAGCGGAGGGAUCAUUACUGAGUACUACACUCUCUACCCUUUGUGAACUAUUAUACCUGUUGCUUCGGCGGCGCCCGCAAGGGUGCCCGCCGGUCUCAUCAGAAUCUCUGUUUUCGAACCCGACGAUACUUCUGAGUGUUCUUAGCGAACUGUCAAAACUUUUAACAACGGAUCUCUUGGCUCCAGCAUCGAUGAAGAACGCAGCGAAACGCGAUAUGUAAUGUGAAUUGCAGAAUUCAGUGAAUCAUCGAAUCUUUGAACGCACAUGGCGCCUUCCAGUAUCCUGGGAGGCAUGCCUGUCCGAGCGUCGUUUCAACCCUCGAGCCCCUGUGGCCCGGCGUUGGGGAUCUGCCACGGCAGGCCCCUAAAACCAGUGGCGGACCCGAAGGGCCUCUCCUUUGCGCAGUAGCAUUCGCCUCGCAUCGGGAGUCCUCGGCGUCCUGCCUCUAAACCCCCACAAGCCCGCUUCGGCGGCACCAAGGUUGACCUCGGAUCAGGUAGGAAUACCCGCUGAACUUAA